AGGGUCUUGGAUUACGGAAUAGCUCUGCUCCUUGGCCUGCGAGGUCAACGAUGCUCAGAAUGCAACCCGGCAUGUUUCCGUACUCCUGGAGGCCUAUCUCGAUCCAAUCAGAAGGAUGGGCUUCGAGGCGAUGAAGCUCGCGAGCAAUAUCGAGACGACGUUUCUCUAGUUCCAUUCUUCUUUUCCUAAUCUCAAUUUUCUCACCUUCGAGCUCGUUGUGCCGAGUGAUAAGCUGAAGAAAAUAAGACGUUUCGUUUAGUAAUAACAAAAGAAGUCAAGACACUAGGUUGAACAAUACCUUGGUAAUAAACUCUUCAGCCUUGACACGAUCUUGAGCUGAUAAUCUCUCGAUUAACAUGAUCAGAACCUGAAUGCUGGUUCCCCACCGUAAUGUACGUGAUUCUUCUGGUUCGCCAGUUGCUUCCGUUUUUACGAGCUCGAUGUCUGACGUUCCCGAAAGAUCAUUGCUUAUCGUUUUGAAUGAGUCGGAGGGAUUCUC
This 499-nucleotide long non-coding RNA is filed under the name Arabidopsis lyrata. RNAcentral describes it as "long non-coding RNA (ALYR_LNC000505)". The record is from RNAcentral. Lineage: Eukaryota; Viridiplantae; Streptophyta; Magnoliopsida; Brassicales; Brassicaceae.